GCGCAGCAGUCGAGAAUCUUCCACAAUGGACGAAAGUCUGAUGGAGCGACGCCGCGUGCGGGAUGAAGGCCUUAUGGGUUGUAAACCGCUGUCAGGGGGAAGAACAUCGGAAUGAACAAUACUCAUUCCGACUGACGUUACCCCCACGAGGAAGCUCCGGCCAACUCCGUGCCAGCAGCCGCGGUAAUACGGGGGAGGCAAGCGUUGUCCGGAAUUAUUGGGCGUAAAGGGCGUGUAGGCGGCGAGGUAAGUCGAAUGUGAAAUCUCACGGCUCAAACCGUGAAACUGCGUU
This 292-nucleotide ribosomal RNA is filed under the name uncultured microorganism. RNAcentral describes it as "partial 16S ribosomal RNA". It matches the Rfam family "Bacterial small subunit ribosomal RNA", at positions 346 to 627 of the family's 1533-position model. The record is from RNAcentral.